RNAcentral lists this ribosomal RNA (471 nucleotides) under uncultured bacterium. RNAcentral's name for it is "bacterial SSU rRNA". It matches the Rfam family "Bacterial small subunit ribosomal RNA", at positions 29 to 506 of the family's 1533-position model. The record is from RNAcentral.
ACGAACGCUGGCGGCGUGCUUAACACAUGCAAGUCGAACGAUGAUGCCCAGCUUGCUGGGUGGAUUAGUGGCGAACGGGUGAGUAACACGUGAGUAACCUGCCCCUGACUCUGGGAUAAGCGUUGGAAACGACGUCUAAUACUGGAUAUGAUCACUGGCCGCAUGGUCUGGUGGUGGAAAGAUUUUUUGGUUGGGGAUGGACUCGCGGCCUAUCAGCUUGUUGGUGAGGUAAUGGCUCACCAAGGCGACGACGGGUAGCCGGCCUGAGAGGGUGACCGGCCACACUGGGACUGAGACACGGCCCAGACUCCUACGGGAGGCAGCAGUGGGGAAUAUUGCACAAUGGGCGAAAGCCUGAUGCAGCAACGCCGCGUGAGGGAUGACGGCCUUCGGGUUGUAAACCUCUUUUAGUAGGGAAGAAGGGAGCUUGCUCUUGACGGUACCUGCAGAAAAAGCACCGGCUAACUACGU